GCGCACGGGUGCGUAACGCGUAUGCAACCUACCUCUUACUGGGGUAUAGCCCAGAGAAAUUUGGAUUAAUCCCCCAUAGUACCAUUUAAUCGCAUGGUUGAAUGGUUAAAGGUUACGGUAAGAGAUGGGCAUGCGUCCCAUUAGUUAGUUGGUGAGGUAAUGGCUCACCAAGACUCCGAUGGGUAGGGGUUCUGAGAGGAUGAUCCCCCACACUGGUACUGAGACACGGACCAGACUCCUACGGGAGGCAGCAGUGAGGAAUAUUGCGCAAUGGACGAAAGUCUGACGCAGCCAUGCCGCGUGCAGGAUGACGGCGCUACGCGUUGUAAACUGCUUUUAUU
This 341-nucleotide ribosomal RNA is filed under the name uncultured bacterium. Its description in RNAcentral is "bacterial SSU rRNA". It matches the Rfam family "Bacterial small subunit ribosomal RNA", at positions 98 to 440 of the family's 1533-position model. The record is from RNAcentral.